GUUAAGAUAGCAAAGAUUGGUCACUGCAUAAAACUUAAGCUUUUACUCACGGAGGUUCAACUCCUCUUCUUAACA
Transfer RNA from Loxodonta africana (African savanna elephant), 75 nucleotides. It matches the Rfam family "tRNA". Rfam says of the family: Transfer RNA (tRNA) molecules are approximately 80 nucleotides in length. Their secondary structure includes four short double-helical elements and three loops (D, anti-codon, and T loops). Lineage: Eukaryota; Metazoa; Chordata; Mammalia; Proboscidea; Elephantidae. The record is from Rfam.